This 71-nucleotide transfer RNA is filed under the name Camelus bactrianus (Bactrian camel). It matches the Rfam family "tRNA". Rfam says of the family: Transfer RNA (tRNA) molecules are approximately 80 nucleotides in length. RNAcentral also lists the same sequence under 3 other names. The record is from Rfam by way of RNAcentral. Lineage: Eukaryota; Metazoa; Chordata; Mammalia; Artiodactyla; Camelidae.
AGGGGAAAGCUCAGUGGUGGAGUAUGUGCUUAGCAUGCAUGAGAUUCUGGGUUCAAUCCCCAGUACCUCUG